This is a long non-coding RNA of Haliotis rubra (blacklip abalone), 1429 nucleotides long. RefSeq lists it as uncharacterized. The record is from RefSeq and is a predicted model, not a curated record. The transcript has 2 exons. Lineage: Eukaryota; Metazoa; Mollusca; Gastropoda; Lepetellida; Haliotidae.
AGGCGAGUGUCGGGAAGGACGGUUGGGUUUACUGUUGUGGGCCUGCUUACAUGUGUAUGUAGUUUACAUGCGUGUGUGUACAAUGGCUAGUACAUUCAACAGGUAUCGAAGCAGCAACCACGCAAGCUCAUUUUUUUUCCGACAAGAUAUGAACUGUUCACGGCUCACACCGCCCACGGUAGUGCCUGUAAGUACUCGUCAAACAGGUAUCCAUGUUGUAUAUUCUCAUAUCGGUUAGACUUGCAGUGUGUGUUCGCAUGGUAUAAACACGACUGUGAUGUAUCGUUCACGACUGUAAUGUAUCGUAUGGACUGAGCUACUUUGCGGGGAGGGAGUUAUCUGUGUAUAUCACCAGGAGACCAAGCGACAUCAUGAAAGAACGUACAUGUCGGUUACUUUUCCAAACGCCUACUACCAUGUCAGUGGAUCCUCCCGCGGUAACACUUUUUGGGUUGUACGUCUGUUAAAACAAGCCAACAUCAUGUUUGAUCAUGCACCCAAUUUGAUUAUUUACUGUUAUGCAGUGUGGCAAGAUGUCUAUGGAGAAUGGAGAAGUCCAUUCCAAACAUUCGAUUCCUGGAUUCCCUUCCUACAGAAGAGGAGUUAAAAAGAUAUUAUUUAGAAUCAGAUAAAUGAUGUAUGUUGGUAGUAGAUGGCUUCAUGCAACAGGUUUGUUAAAGGUCAAUUGUUUUUACAUCCUAAUACCACACUAUCACGAUCUGGAAAUUCCUGUAAUUAACAUACAACAAUCAGCUUAUCCAAAAGGAGAAUGUAAAAGAACUAUGUGACUAAACACACAUCAGUUUGUGUUAUUCUCCAAGCCUCGUUUAGCACAUGAGUAUAAUAUUUUAGGACAAGCAAAGUGUUUUUCAGAAUCUUUUCAAGAUGCUGUAGGUAGAAAGAAAUAUGGUUGUCUGGUGUCGGAUUCCUUCCCCUUUGCUGAUGAACACUAUGGGCGUUUGAGUACAGUGAUAUUCCCUGAUGAGGUGUGCACAGUGUACCUGCUGCAGAUGUAGGGUGUUUAGUGUUUGAAAUACAUAAUCUCAUAUACAUACAUGUUACAUCAUUUCACUUUCAACACUCAAAGUGAACAGAACCAUGGAUGUGAGUGGUCGAGUCGAUGAUCAUGCUUCAGUACCAGACUGGGCAAUAAUAAUACAUUUCGACACACGAUUAGUGUCUUUCAACAGUCAUUGCAGAAGCAGGAUUUAUGUACACAGGCCAUCUGACAAGGUCUACUGUUUCAAAUGUAGACUACGAGCACAUUCUUGGAUACCAGAAGAAGAUCCUCUAACUGAACAUUUCAGACUGUUUCCACACUGUACCGUGAUUCGCUUUUUCAUCAUAUUACCUCAACGUAUACGUUCUCCAGUAGGUUUGGCAAACCUUUAAGACAUUUACAUGUUGCAAAACAUCUUACCAGAGAAAA